RNAcentral lists this ribosomal RNA (1916 nucleotides) under Hevea brasiliensis (rubber tree). Its description in RNAcentral is "SSU rRNA". It matches the Rfam family "Eukaryotic small subunit ribosomal RNA". Lineage: Eukaryota; Viridiplantae; Streptophyta; Magnoliopsida; Malpighiales; Euphorbiaceae. The record is from RNAcentral.
GGUUGAUCCUGCCAGUAGUCAUGAUGCUUGUCUCAAAGAUUAAGCCAUGCAUGAUUAGAUGAAAAAACCUAAUUUUUCCCCAAAGACUGCUGGAAACUGCGAAUGGCGUCAUUAAAUCAGUUAUAGUUUGUUGAUGGUAUCUGCUACUCGAUAACCGUUAGUAAUGUCUAGCAGCUAAUACGUUAUGCCAACAAAACCCCGACUUCUGGAAGGGAUGCAUUAUUAGAUAACAACGGUCGACGCGGGCUCUGCCCGUGCUCUGAUGAGUCAUGAUAAUCGACGGAUCGCACGGCAUCGUGCGGCGACGCAUCAUUCAAAUUUCUGCCCUAUCAACUUUCGGAUGCGUAGGAUAGAGGCCUACCAUGGUGCGUGACGGGUGACGGAAAUUAGGGUUCGAUUCCGGACGAGGGAGCCUCUGAGAAACGGCUACCCAUCCAAGGAAGGCAGCAGCUCCUGCGCAAAUUACCCAAUCCUGACACGGGGGAGGGUAAGCUGACAAUAAAUAACAAUACCGGGCUCUUCGAGUCUGGUAAUUGGAAUGAGUUACAAUCUAAAUCCCUUAACGAGGAAUCCAUUGGAGGGCAGAGCGUCUGGGCCAGCAGCCGCGCGGUAAAUUUCCAGCUCCAAUAGCGUAUAUUUAAGUUGUUGCCAGUUAAAAAAGCGUCGUAGGUUGGACCUUUGGGUGGUCGACCGGUCCGACCCUCCGGUUGUGCACCUGUCGGCUCGGUCCCUGUCUGCCGCAUGCGCCUCCUGGCCUAACUGGCCGGGCGGGCCUCCGGCCGCUGUUACUUUGAAGAAUUUAGGAAGACACCAGUGCUCAAAGCAAGCCUACGCUCUGGAUACAUUAGCAUGGCAAAACAUCAUAGGAUUUCGGUUCCUAUUGUGUUAGGCCUUCGGGAUCGCGAGUAAUGAUUAACAGGGCACAGUCGGGCAUUCGUUAUUUUCAUAGUCAGCAGGUGAAAUUCUUGCGGAUUUAAUGAAAGACGAACAACUGCCGAAAGCAUUUGCAAGGAUGUUUUCAUUAAUCAAAGAACGAAAUCCUCGCGUGCGUCGAAGACGAUCAGAUACCGUCCUAGUCUCAAACAUAAACGAUUCCGACCAGGGAUCGGGCGGAAUGUUGCUUUUAGGGACUCCGCCGCACCUUAUGAGAAAUCAAAGUCUUUGGUUCCGGGGGGAGUAUUUUGCGUCGCAAGCUGAAACUUAAAGGAAUUGACGGCAAGGGCACCACCAGGGAGGUGCGAUCCUGCCCGGCUUAUUUGACUCAACACGUGGAUAAACUUACAGGUCCAGAAGCAUAGUAAAGGAAUUGACAGACUGGGUGAGCAGCUUCUUCUUAGAUUUCUAUGGGUGGUGCGCUGCAUGGCGUUCUUAGUUGGUGGACGAUUUGUCUGGUUAAUUCCGUACGAACGAGACCUCAGCCUGCUAACUAGCUUAGUUUUUUGGAUGUGCGGUGGCAGAGGUUGCGACCCUCCCGGGCCAGCUUCUUAGUAGCGGACUAUGCGCCUUUUAGGCAGCAAGUUUGAGCAAUAACAGGUCUGUUGGAUGCCCUUAGCAUGUUCUGGGCCGCACGUCGCUACACUGAUGUAUUCAACGAGUCUAUAGCCUUGGCCGACGGCCCGGAGGUAAUCUUGAAAUUUCAAUCGUUUGAUGGGAUAGAUCAUUUUGCCAAUUGUUGGUCUUCAACGCAGGAAUUCCUAGUAACGCGCGAGUCAUCAGCUCGCGUGACUACGUCCCUGGCCCUUUGUCACACCGGCCCGUCGCUCCUACCAUUGAAUGGUCGGUUGUGAAGUGUUCGGAUCGCCUCGCGACGUGGCGGUUCGCCGCCAGGCGACGUCGCUGAGAAAGCUCCACUGAACCUUAUUCAUUUAGAGGAAGGACGAAGUCGUAACAAGUUUCCGUAGUUGAACCUGCGGCAA